UCUCUCUCGGGGUCACACCUGAAGAGUUUCCAGUACUCUACCAGUCUCGUUUACGAGAGGGAGAGCCAAGCAGACUCAUUCCAUUCCUAGCUUGGGCAGUGGCUAGCGAGUGGAAGGCAAUCUGCUACAAGU
This is a small nucleolar RNA of Ornithorhynchus anatinus (platypus), 132 nucleotides long. The record is from RefSeq and is a predicted model, not a curated record. NCBI's taxonomy places the organism in Eukaryota, Metazoa, Chordata, Mammalia, Monotremata, Ornithorhynchidae.